AAUUCUCUGGGAUGCAUGACAUGCGGCUCAGGCUGUAACCAACACACAGUUUGCGCGCCCCUGGUCAAAGUCGUGGUGAGCCAGCCUGCCACCGAGCAGGACGCCUGAAGCGAUUUUCAAGGAUAGCGCUAAUUUCCCCAAGGUUCCACUCUGAAGCAGCGGCCGGCAUCCCGGAGAGACA
This 181-nucleotide non-coding RNA is filed under the name Desulfuromonas sp. DDH964. RNAcentral describes it as "6S / SsrS RNA". It matches the Rfam family "6S / SsrS RNA". Rfam says of the family: E. coli 6S RNA was the first non coding RNA to be sequenced, but its function was unknown until recently. The record is from Rfam by way of RNAcentral. Lineage: Bacteria; Pseudomonadati; Thermodesulfobacteriota; Desulfuromonadia; Desulfuromonadales; Desulfuromonadaceae.